Molecule: ribosomal RNA, 504 nt
Filed under: uncultured bacterium
Lineage: Bacteria
Description: partial 16S ribosomal RNA
Rfam family: Bacterial small subunit ribosomal RNA
Source: RNAcentral
AUUGAACGCUGGCGGCAGGCCUAACACAUGCAAGUCGAACGGUAGCACAGAGAGCUUGCUCUCGGGUGACGAGUGGCGGACGGGUGAGUAACGUCUGGGAAACUGCCCGAUGGAGGGGGAUAACUACUGGAAACGGUAGCUAAUACCGCAAAACGUCGCAAGACCAAAGUGGGGGACCUUCGGGCCUCACACCAUCGGAUGGGCCCAGAUGGGAUUAGCUAGUAGGUGGGGUAAUGGCUCACCUAGGCGGCGAUCCCUAGCUGGUCUGAGAGGAUGACCAGCCACACUGGAACUGAGACACGGUCCAGACUCCUACGGGAGGCAGCAGUGGGGAAUAUUGCACAAUGGGCGCAAGCCUGAUGCAGCCAUGCCGCGUGUAUGAAGAAGGCCUUCGGGUUGUAAAGUACUUUCAGCGGGGAGGAAGGCGGUGAAGUUAAUAGCUUAACCGAUUGACGUUACCCGCAGAAGAAGCACCGGCUAACUCCGUGCCAGCCGCCGCAGUAA